GACGAACGCUGGCGGCGUGCCUAAUACAUGCAAGUCGAACGAGAGCGACCGGUGCUUGCACUGGUCAAUCUAGUGGCGAACGGGUGAGUAACACGUGGGUAACCUGCCCAUCAGAGGGGGAUAACAUCCGGAAACGGAUGCUAAAACCGCAUAGGUCUUCGAGCCGCAUGGCUUGAAGAGGAAAAGAGGCGCAAGCUUCUGCUGAUGGAUGGACCCGCGGUGCAUUAGCUAGUUGGUGAGGUAACGGCUCACCAAGGCCGUGAUGCAUAGCCGACCUGAGAGGGUGAUUGGCCAAAUUGGGACUGAGCCACGGCCCAAACUCCUACGGGAGGCAGCAGUAGGGAAUCUUCCGCAAUGGACGCAAGUCUGACGGAGCAACGCCGCGUGAGUGAAGAAGGUUUUCGGAUCGUAAAACUCUGUUGUUAGAGAAGAACAAGUGCUAGAGUAACUGUUAGCGCCUUGACGGUAUCUAACCAGAAAGCCACGGCUAACUACGUG
Molecule: ribosomal RNA, 498 nt
Filed under: uncultured bacterium
Lineage: Bacteria
Description: partial 16S ribosomal RNA
Rfam family: Bacterial small subunit ribosomal RNA
Source: RNAcentral